Molecule: ribosomal RNA, 438 nt
Filed under: uncultured bacterium
Lineage: Bacteria
Description: bacterial SSU rRNA
Rfam family: Bacterial small subunit ribosomal RNA
Source: RNAcentral
GUACGGGAGGCAGCAGUGAGGAAUAUUGGACAAUGGGCGAAAGCCUGAUCCAGCAAUGCCGCGUGAGUGAUGAAGGCCUUAGGGUUGUAAAGCUCUUUCAGCAGGGAAGAUAAUGACGGUACCUGCAGAAGAAGCUCCGGCUAACUCCGUGCCAGCAGCCGCGGUAAUACGGAGGGAGCUAGCGUUGUUCGGAAUUACUGGGCGUAAAGAGCGCGUAGGCGGUCUGUAAAGUUAGGAGUGAAAGCCCAAGGCUUAACCUUGGAACUGCUCUUAAAACUCACAGACUAGAGAUUGGUAGAGGAUGGUGGAAUUCCUAGUGUAGAGGUGAAAUUCGUAGAUAUUAGGAGGAACACCGGUGGCGAAGGCGGCCAUCUGGGCCAACACUGACGCUGAGGCGCGAAAGCGUGGGGAGCAAACAGGAUUAGAUACCCCGGUAGC